CUGAACUCGAGUAGGGCCCAAGCAAGCCCGGAAGGAGGAGGCAGCCAGAGUGGCCACCACUGCUCUCUGCAGCAGAAGACCCCUUGCUGCCCUGCUUAACCCAGACCAGCAUUUGCCAGGAUUGCUAGAGGUGUUCAGUAUUUCCAAAAUAUGUGUGUCAGUUAUGGAAGGAUGUACCAGGCUGUUAGGUGAAGGUUCUGCACAUCUGGGUGAAGGAUCUGUCCUUGUUGUUGGCUGAGCAGAUGAGGACUGUAAGAAAUAGAAGGCACUGAGAGCAAGCUGUUAAUCCUUCAGUGGACAAUGAAGAACUGAGGGGAAAGAGGCACCAGCAACGGAGAAAGGGGAGGAGCUACUGCCAAAAAGCUAGCAGAGGGGAAAGCUUGGAAGGUUCUAGAACAGGCUAUUGCGCUGGUGUGAAUACCCAACGUGUGAACAGAGACCAUGUCAAAGAAACACUGAAUAUUUUACUGCUUAUGAUACAGGGAUUUCAUGAAUGUCAGAAACACCACCACACAAGCAUACUUUUGUAUUCCAGUCUGCUCCCCUCGUCUCCUCUCUCCCCAACCAUCAUUUCACUUCCCUGGCUCCUGUUUUGCAGGGCAGAAGAAGCAUUGCACCAGCAACAUCCAGCCAGCAAGCAAGAGGUGAUAUAGCUUGUGUUGCUCAGUUGUUCCUCCUGAGUAGGGCUCAGGGCUAGAAGGAAAUUGUUCUACCAUGUGCUGCUGCACCUUCUGGGCUGAGUUUCAGCUCAGACCCUUUGCUGUCUCUGCUCCUGCGGUCUUGGGGUGAUUGUACAGAAGGCUGGGCAGACUUAAGGCUCCAGGAAGCUACCUUUUUUUUUUUUUUUUUUUUUGUGGCCAGAGUCUUGGUUGCUGCCAACAUGAAAAAGCAGCUUGAGCAAAUCAAGCCAGUCACAAAAUAGUGGCUGGGGAGGCAGAGCCCGCCAGUUGCACAAUUGCUGCACAAAAGCGUGUACAAAAACGUACGUUGACAGCAUAAGGAUAGUAACAUCAGACUGGCGGAAUUCCAAGAAACGGGGUCGGGGAUGCUAUAGGAGUUUCUGGCACUGAGCAGCGCAUCUUGCACUGAGCAGAGGGCUGGACCUGAAGACCUCCCAGGCAGUCUGAUCUUUGCAGAGCCUGUGUGUGCCUGAGGCUGGGACAGGGCUCUGUGGUGCUUAUUUUUGUUUGGUUCUCUCCCCAAAGUCUCCUCUUCUGCAGAAGCCAUUAAAAAACAAGAU
This is a long non-coding RNA of Hemicordylus capensis (graceful crag lizard), 1240 nucleotides long. RefSeq lists it as uncharacterized. NCBI's taxonomy places the organism in Eukaryota, Metazoa, Chordata, Lepidosauria, Squamata, Cordylidae. The record is from RefSeq and is a predicted model, not a curated record. The transcript is spliced from 3 exons.